GACGAACGCUGGCGGCGUGCCUAAUACAUGCAAGUAGAACGCUGAAGGAGGAGCUUGCUCUUCUGGAUGAGUUGCGAACGGGUGAGUAACGCGUAGGUAACCUGCCUGGUAGCGGGGGAUAACUAUUGGAAACGAUAGCUAAUACCGCAUAACAGUAGAUGUUGCAUGACAUUUACUUAAAAGGUGCAAUUGCUUCACUACCAGAUGGACCUGCGUUGUAUUAGCUAGUUGGUGGGGUAACGGCUCACCAAGGCGACGAUACAUAGCCGACCUGAGAGGGUGAGCGGCCACGCUGGGAGUGAGGCACGGCCCAGACUCCUACGGGAGGCAGCAGUAGGGAAUCUUCGGCAAUGGACGGAAGUCUGACCGAGGAACGCCGCGUGAGUGAAGAAGGUUGUCGGAUCGUAAAGAUCUGUUGUAAGAGAAGAACGAGUGUGAGAGUGGAAAGUUCACAAUGUGACGGUAUCUGAACAGAAAGGGACGGCUAACUACGUG
Molecule: ribosomal RNA, 495 nt
Filed under: uncultured bacterium
Lineage: Bacteria
Description: partial 16S ribosomal RNA
Rfam family: Bacterial small subunit ribosomal RNA
Source: RNAcentral